GGGGCUGUGGUUCAGUGGUAGACCGCAUGCCUAGCAUGCUUGAGGCACUGGGUUCGAUCCCCAACACCA
Molecule: transfer RNA, 69 nt
Filed under: Ictidomys tridecemlineatus (thirteen-lined ground squirrel)
Lineage: Eukaryota; Metazoa; Chordata; Mammalia; Rodentia; Sciuridae
Description: Spermophilus tridecemlineatus (thirteen-lined ground squirrel) tRNA
Rfam family: tRNA
About the family: Transfer RNA (tRNA) molecules are approximately 80 nucleotides in length. Their secondary structure includes four short double-helical elements and three loops (D, anti-codon, and T loops).
Source: Rfam by way of RNAcentral